AUUGAACGCUGGCGGCAUGCCUAACACAUACAAGUCGAACGGCAGCACAGUCUAGCUUGCUAGACGGGUGGCGAGUGGCGAACGGGUGAGUAACGCGUAGGAAUAUGGCUUAAAGAGUGGGACAACUUGGGGAAACUCAAGCUAAUACCGCAUAAGCUCUUAGGAGGAAAGCUGGGGACCUUCGGGCCUGGCGCUUUAAGAUUAGCCUGCGUCCGAUUAGCUAGUUGGUAGGGUAAGGGCCUACCAAGGCGACGAUCGGUAGCUGGUCUGAGAGGAUGACCAGCCACACUGGGACUGAGACACGGCCCAGACUCCUACGGGAGGCAGCAGUGGGGAAUAUUGGACAAUGGGGGCAACCCUGAUCCAGCAAUGCCGCGUGUGUGAAGAAGGCCUGAGGGUUGUAAAGCACCUUCAGUGGGGAGGAGAGAUGUCAGGUUAAGAGCUGGACAUUGAGACGUUACCCACAGAAGAAGCACCGGCUAACUCCGUGCCAGCAGCCGCCGUAA
RNAcentral lists this ribosomal RNA (506 nucleotides) under uncultured bacterium. Its description in RNAcentral is "partial 16S ribosomal RNA". It matches the Rfam family "Bacterial small subunit ribosomal RNA", at positions 29 to 523 of the family's 1533-position model. The record is from RNAcentral.